Molecule: ribosomal RNA, 378 nt
Filed under: uncultured bacterium
Lineage: Bacteria
Description: bacterial SSU rRNA
Rfam family: Bacterial small subunit ribosomal RNA
Source: RNAcentral
UCAUACGGAGGAUCCAAGCGUUAUCCGGAUUUACUGGGCGUAAAGAGUUGCGUAGGUGGUUCGCCAAGUUUCCGUUUAAAUGCCAAGGCUCAACCUUGGAAGUGACGGAAAAACUGGUGAACUCGAGAACGAGAGAGGUGGCUGGAAUUCCCUGUGUAGGAGUGAAAUCCGUAGAUAUAGGGAGGAACACCGAUGGCGUAGGCAGGCCACUGGCUCGUUUCUGACACUGAGGCACGAAAGCGUGGGGAGCGAACGGGAUUAGAUACCCCGGUAGUCCACGCCGUAAACGAUGGAUGCUAGCUGUAAGGAGUAUCGACCCUUCUUGUAGCGAAGCUAACGCGUUAAGCAUCCCGCCUGGGGAGUACGGUCGCAAGAUUA